RNAcentral lists this long non-coding RNA (275 nucleotides) under Ananas comosus (pineapple). RNAcentral describes it as "long non-coding RNA (ACOM_LNC012280)". Lineage: Eukaryota; Viridiplantae; Streptophyta; Magnoliopsida; Poales; Bromeliaceae. The record is from RNAcentral.
ACCUCCCAAGAUGCCUCCAAACAAGCUCCAAAUCUUCUAGGGUUGAAGAUUGGUCCACCACCAAGCUCUACAAGCAAGCUCCAAGCCAAGCAAGGGUGGAAAGGAGAGAAAGGGGGGUUGAGCUCCAAGCUCCCUCAAGCAAGCUCCUCUUCUUCUUCUCCUCCUUCUCCUUCUUCUCUCUCUAGAAGGUGUAGGGAGAAGGUGAGAAAUGAGGAGGGAAGAGAGUGAAAUGGCCUUAUAGACCAUUUAGAGCAACAAAAUCCAGAGAGGCCCCU